This 253-nucleotide ribosomal RNA is filed under the name uncultured bacterium. RNAcentral describes it as "partial 16S ribosomal RNA". It matches the Rfam family "Bacterial small subunit ribosomal RNA", at positions 524 to 776 of the family's 1533-position model. The record is from RNAcentral.
UACGUAGGUCCCGAGCGUUGUCCGGAUUUAUUGGGCGUAAAGGGCGUGUAGGCGGGGAAGCAAGUCAGAUGUGAAAACCACGGGCUCAACCUGUGGCCUGCAUUUGAAACUGUUUUUCUUGAGUGCUGGAGAGGCAAUCGGAAUUCCGUGUGUAGCGGUGAAAUGCGUAGAUAUACGGAGGAACACCAGUGGCGAAGGCGGAUUGCUGGACAGUAACUGACGCUGAGGCGCGAAAGCGUGGGGAGCAAACAGG